GACUCCAUGAAGCUGGAUUCGCUAGUAAUCGCGCAUCAGCCACGGCGCGGUGAAUACGUUCCCGGGCCUUGUACACACCGCCCGUCAAGCCAUGGGAGCCGGGGUGCCUGAAGGCCGUGACCGCGAGGAGCGGCCUAGGGUAAAACUGGUGACUGGGGCUAAGUCGUAACAAGGUACC
This 178-nucleotide ribosomal RNA is filed under the name uncultured bacterium. RNAcentral's name for it is "partial 16S ribosomal RNA". It matches the Rfam family "Bacterial small subunit ribosomal RNA", at positions 1314 to 1500 of the family's 1533-position model. The record is from RNAcentral.